UACGGGGGGAGCAAGCGUUGUUCGGAUUUACUGGGCGUAAAGGGCGCGUAGGCGGUCAGCACAAGUCAGUUGUGAAAUCUCCGGGCUUAACUCGGAAAGGUCAACUGAUACUGUGCGACUAGAGUGCGGAAGGGGCAACUGGAAUUCUCGGUGUAGCGGUGAAAUGCGUAGAUAUCGAGAGGAACACCUGCGGCGAAGGCGGGUUGCUGGGCCGUAACUGACGCUGAGGAGCGAAAGCGUGGGGAGCGAACAGG
This 254-nucleotide ribosomal RNA is filed under the name uncultured bacterium. RNAcentral's name for it is "partial 16S ribosomal RNA". It matches the Rfam family "Bacterial small subunit ribosomal RNA", at positions 524 to 776 of the family's 1533-position model. The record is from RNAcentral.